AAUCUGGUAAAUGCACACAACCAGAUCUGAAUUAAUAAAAGACAAAUUAUUAUGGAAGAACUAUGUGGUUAAAAGUAAUUAAUAUUGUGAAAUGAUUUGUAUUGUAUAGAAACUAUAUAAAUUAGGGAUGGGGGAUAAUGUUGGGCAAUGAUAACUUCCUUUUUGAGGUGCUAGAGAUUACAGUGUUAAAAAAUAUGUUGUUUUUUUAAUCUUACUAACUAUCUUACACACAUUAUCAUAAAUUGCUGGAUGUUUAGAAAAUUUUAUUAUAUAUUUUUAUAAGGUUUAUAAAAGAAUGGCUGUAAUAAUGCUAUGAUAUGAUUGUUAAUGAAAUUUAAGAGUAUUAAAGGGUGCAAUCCAAUUUUAAAUCAAAAAGGAGGGGGGUGGGGUGAAAAAUUAAAUAUGAACUUAUUUUUUUUAAACUUAAUAAUAUAUUUUUGGAUUUAUAUAAAAGAUGACAUUCCAUUUUUCAAAACAACUGUUGGGGAAUUUUGCAAAGCAGCAUUUUUUAGUGUUUGUCACACAAUGGAAAAAUUCCAAAAUUUAUUCCUCGUUAUUCAUUCUUAUUCAUGAAAUGUAUGCAAAAAAAAUUCUAAGUCCAAACAUUCAAGUUAAUUCAUGAUUAUUCAUGUGAAAAAAAGAAAAUUUUUUACAAUGUUAAUUCCACGAUUUAAAAUACUUUACAUGUUUUGUAUGAAGAUGUUAUGGAUGUCACCUACAUGAUCUCACUCUAAUAAAAUGAUCAUCAUAUUUUUUUUUCAUUUAACUGUGGAAUAUGUUAUUCAGCAUCAACAAUCAAGUACAAAUAUACAUACAAAAGUCCUAGAACAAAUUUUAUUUAUCAUUUUUUUUGCUGUUUGCUUCAAAUAAUUCUGAGUCAUUAUCAUGCAGCUUUAUUCAUGCUUAUUCAUGUUUGUCACACAAUGGGAAAAUAUUCUAAGUCCAAAAUUUAUUCCUCAUUAUUCAUUCUUAUUCAUGAAAUGUAUGCAAAAAAAU
This 996-nucleotide long non-coding RNA is filed under the name Mytilus galloprovincialis (Mediterranean mussel). Lineage: Eukaryota; Metazoa; Mollusca; Bivalvia; Mytilida; Mytilidae. The record is from RNAcentral.